Molecule: non-coding RNA, 253 nt
Organism: Cinara cedri
Lineage: Eukaryota; Metazoa; Arthropoda; Insecta; Hemiptera; Aphididae
Source: the annotation of a GenBank genome assembly
UGAGUUCACACGAGGCUUAAACCACGACCGUGGUUUUCGGUAACACAGUUCACGGUUUGUGUAAACAGAUACAAUUCGUUCUUCAAGAUUUUGAUUGGUAUUAUAGAUUUCUUCGGUGGUUUUACUAUGAUAUGUGUUUUGUAAACCACAUUUCCAAAAGAAAUAUUGUUUUUGUCAAAAAACGAAAAGUGAGUUUUUUUAUAGCAUUUUGUUUCCUUUGAGAAUGCAAUUUUUUGAUUUUCUUAGUAGCUCU